Molecule: long non-coding RNA, 1031 nt
Filed under: Macaca fascicularis (crab-eating macaque)
Lineage: Eukaryota; Metazoa; Chordata; Mammalia; Primates; Cercopithecidae
Description: lncRNA (ENSMFAG00000061021.1)
Source: RNAcentral
AUGUGUGUUAUAGAUGGAUCUGAGAACGCUGUCUGGGCUUGGUGCCAAGGGCUGGUAUUUCACAGCAGCGACCGCCUCACAGACGAGCUGUGGGAAGCAGGAGGGAGACUCUCUCUUAGGGUGCCACUACUAUGGAGACACAGCUGGGCUGAACAAGAUUUGCUUCAAACGACAACAAGAGAGACAGAAAGUAUCUGGUUCAACCGCUGCCCGAGCAGGCAGGCACCAGAAGAGCUAGCAGCCAAUCCGGCCAUGCUCGAAGCCAGCUCUGCAGCUCAGCCAAUCAGUGACAUCACUGCUUUCUUUAGCUUGCCCAUGGUGAUGUGAAGAUGAGAAGAAAUAGCAAGGCCCAACCAGUUCUUCAUCUGAAGACAGUUCAAUGUUCUACAAACCAGGUAAAAAUAAUACAGACGAUUUUAGGAAUGCACAGUCCCUUUAUAAAAGAAACUAUUUCCUUUCUCAAGUUUGAUCUACAGAUUUUUGCAAGAAGCUAUAUUUAUCAUCUAAUGUGUAACUUGUUAAUAAAUAUGACAUUAUAUCAAUUUCAAUUAUCUGUGAAGAGCAGAGCGACUAAAGCAUGCAUUUGUGUAUUGACUCAUGAAUAAAGUUAUAGUUGUAGUAUAACCUUCUUUUAUGGAAAUAUUUUAAAGAAAAAAAGAGGACAUGUGGCUACUUGAUUUGCUUGUUAUAAUUCUAAACAAAGGAAAGAGGAGUGGGCUAAAUAAAUUUAAUAUUUCUUUAAAAACAACUUUUACCAAAUGAAUAUAUUUGCAUAUAUUUAAAAUUCAAGUAAAUUUAAAGGCUAGUAACUAAAUAAAUAAACGUUUUAUUUAUUUAUUUCCUGCACAACUGCAGGAAAACAACCACUUUCAAACUCUUUAAUUUUUAUUUUACUUUUGUGGAUUUAAAUAACAUCUAUACAUCUAUCUCAUGAUUUUUAGAGUUAGUGCUCUAAUAAUUGAUUUCUUGUUGCUAUAGAUGUGGAUUUACACUUCCUUAAAACCCCCACAUUCUUGAUUCUCCCUGUAUAG